This 465-nucleotide ribosomal RNA is filed under the name uncultured bacterium. Its description in RNAcentral is "partial 16S ribosomal RNA". It matches the Rfam family "Bacterial small subunit ribosomal RNA", at positions 338 to 795 of the family's 1533-position model. The record is from RNAcentral.
CCUACGGGUGACAGCAGUGGGGAAUAUUUCGCAAUGGGCGAAAGCCUGACGCAGCGACGCCGCGUGAGGGAUGAAGGUCUUCGGAUCGUAAACCUCUGUCAGCAGGGAAGAACGGUCACUGUGCUAAUCAGCAGUGAAUUGACGGUACCUGCAAAGACAGCACCGGCUAACUCCGUGCCAGCAGCCGCGUUAAUACGGAGGGUGCGGGCGUUAAUCGGAAUUACUGGGCGUAAAGCGCUCGUAUGCGGUAUGUCAAGUCAAGGGUGAAAUCCCCGCGCUCAACGUGGGAACUGCCUUUGAAACUGGAAAAGUGGAGUGUGUGAGAGGAUAGUGGAAUUCAGGGUGUAGGAGUGAAGUCCGGAGAUAUGUGGAGGAACAUCAGUGGCGAAGGCGACUAUCUGGCACAUAACUGACGCUGAGGAGCGAAAGCGUGGGUAGCAAACAGGAUUAGAUACCCUGGUAGUC